Molecule: RNA transcript, 4413 nt
Organism: Solanum pennellii
Lineage: Eukaryota; Viridiplantae; Streptophyta; Magnoliopsida; Solanales; Solanaceae
Exons: 9
Source: RefSeq, a predicted model, not a curated record
AACUUUAUUUAUACUAAUAAAUAGGGUAGGAUAAGUAUCAGGUAAGAGAUAACAAUUUGUAAAGUUGAUCGUCUAUUGUUACCCUAUUCUCUGAUCGUUCUCAUCAUGUUAUCGCCGCCACCGCCACCGCCACCGCCACCACAAUCGCCUCUGCUGUGCCAAUACGGAGGAUCCUCAAGUGAAUCAGAUUGUCCGCAGAGACAAUCCUCAAGCGAAUCGGAUUAUCCGUCGUCGUUGAAGAAACAAAAAGUGGAUGAAGAAGAUGGAGAAUCCAGCGAUUGCGAAAGUGAGCAACCUUUAUCAUACUCUCUUUCAGAUACAAGCGAAAACGACUUGGAUAUCCAAGAAGCAAUUGAAGAGUUAUAUUGCCCUGUCGGUCCCGGUGAAAAAAAGGCGGAUAAAGCUGUUUGGGAUAGGUACUUCGACCAGAUCCGUGAGAGUGAGGGAUUUGACAUUAAGGAUUAUCCCGGUUCGUGUCCACUAACUAGCAUUUACCCCAUGACUAACUACUUAGACACUCCUGCCAAUGUUGAAAUGUUGAAGGAUUAUUGUGCAAAGGCACUUGAGCAUUACAAUACGGACAAUGGCACCAAAUAUGAGGUCGACCGUAUUGUCAAGGUUAAUGAAGGUGGAUGUCAAGGCUUCGUUUACUAUAUUACCUUUACGGUCAAAAAUGGCGACAGUGAAUAUUUUCAAGCUAAGGUGGUGGAACAUAUAAAUAAGAAUAAGCCUUUGGAGUUCCCAAUUGUUAGGCCAAGGGUGAAGGGAGGUUUGGACAUAUAGUGAUGUGAAGUCUGUGCAUCCUUUUGGCUUUGUGUUAACAACUCUUGUCAAUGUUGGACAUCAUUACUAACUACAUUUAAUUGGGUCGGCAAAAAAGUUCUUCUUGACAUUCAAAAGCAGGGAUCUUGUUGUUGUUGCUGGGCAUUUGCCUGUACUGGAUCAAUAACGGCGCUGGAUGCCAUUAUAAGAAAAAGAGAGGUCAUUCCACUCUCAAAACAACAAUUGUUGGAUUGCAUGUUCAAGCAUUAUCCAAUGCCUGAGCUAGAGGCAAAGUUGGAAAGAAGGGAAUGCUUCGGAUUGUCUCGUAGGAUGGCUUACAUAUUUGCCAAGGAACAGGGCAUAGUGGAAGAAUCGAAAUAUCAUUACAUCAUGGAGAGGAGUAAGUGCAAAUGUCCACGUGAUGCGGUAGAAUGGAAAUGCUACUAUAGAGAAGUAAAAUAUAACAUGGAAAAUCUAUUCCGGAGAAAAUCAGGCCAUUCUAUCGAAAUGACGUUACAAGGAAUGGCUGUUAUAACAAGGUUUGACAGUACUCGGAACACAUGUUGCUGUUUCCACAACAAAAGAUGAACACUUAACAAAAAUGUCCUAGAAACAUAUGGUUACCUUGCUUAGGGAUUCGCAGGCAUAAAACCAACAUGAAGCCAAUAAAUAUAUAUUAGAGCCAAUUGAUAGAAUGCCACAAAGAUACAAUAAAUGAUACAAUGACUCAUCAUGCUUGAAAGUUGAAACAUAAGGCUUGAUACAUAGUUUAUGCCUGAGCUUGUAACCAAAUGCCUUUUACACACCUCUCCUUUUCGGAGAACCUUUGACACACUAAACGUUUCACAAAAUGUGUCUAAUACACACCAAUUUUGCUAAAAUCUACUAAAAUAUUAUUAAGGCGUAAACACGGCAUGCCGAGUGAAAUUUCAUGUAAAUUUUUGCGGCUCAAUACUAGUACUGUAUUUCUAAAUAAGUCCUCUUUUCUUCUUUGACAAUUCCUACCAAUAUACUUCUUGUCUCUUUCUCUACUGUAAAGCACCAAGCUGGACUUAUUCACUUUAUCGUUAACAAGAUUCCACUGCAAUACCAAUGCAAAAGCUCAUUAUUACUACAACAAGGAGCUUGUAAAAUUAAACUCCAACUUCUCUUUUGUUUGAAAUCACAAAUUCAGCAAAUGGGUGUUUAUUUCCUCUCCAUUUCCUUUCAUCUGUUUCUUGCAUUUCUUGUAUCAACCCCUUUGUGAAAGUUCUUUGUUUCCUCUGUUUCUUGCAUUCAUUGCCAUUUUCAUGCAACUCGGCCAGCACUUCUUCACCAUUUUUUAUCUAGAUUGUAAUGUUUUGAAAAGUUGGUGGAAACAUCCUUUCUGAAGCUUGCUCCAUGGAUAGCAGUGGAGAUGAAGGUGAAUUUAAGGCAAGGGAGGAGUAAAAAUGGGUCUUUUAACCCUUGUGGAGUCCAAAUAGGUGUUGGGCUUUGUUGACUCCACAGAUAGACCGCUGAUAUGAUAUUUUUUUUUUAUGCAGAAUAUUGUGAAGAUAGAUGGACAUAAGGAAAUAGACAUGGAAAAGACAAGUAACAAGGCAAUAAAACAAUGCAUAAAAAAGCAGCCUUUAACAUGUUUUGUUAGGUCCUAUCCUAGUUUUAAAAAACACGUUGGAGAGGAAAUUUACAUGGGACCCACCGAGGAAGAAACAAGAAUCGCAACGUCUGGUGAUGAAAACAAAAAGGCAGUGCUUCAUGCAUUGAUUAUUGUGGGAUAUGGGGAAGUAAAUGGAGAAGCAUUCUACUUGGUCCAAAAUUCCUGGGGCUACAAAGGCUUCGCUAAAAUCAAGCAAUCACUUGCAAUGAACUUAUCGUAUCCUUUUAUAGAUGAGGAGAAAAAAGAAUGAGUAAGUUGACUAGAAUGUUUUGGCCAAAGUACUAGUGAUUUACGUCCUGCAUAACUCUAUUUUAUGAGAGUAGGUUGAUUUGAAUUUUUUACUGAGUACUAGUGAUUGACGUCCCACACGGAACUCUAUUUUAUGAGAGUCCAUUACCUUUUAUUUUUUCUAUCUAGCUGCUUACGUUGGAAUGUAUGCUUUUACAUUUAUAAGUUUUCCAAAGUAGUUGGCAUUGCCGCAAACUUCACUUUAUUGUGCCGUUUGGAGUGAAACAUAUAUAUAUAUAUUGCAAAUAAGAAAGGAAAACAUACUAGAGUAAAUGGUGUGAUUUCUUCCAACGCCUAUACUCUCUAGUCUCACUUCCAUUUGCUAAAGAGAAAAUCAGAUUGAAAUCAUUUGCCAAUGUGAAGAAAUUUGUUUCAGAAUGUCAACAAAUGAAAGAUUCAAAUUUUGAAACCUGCCGGAUUGAUCCGUCCCUUACCUAUUCCAGAUGUCAUUUUUUAGGAUAUUUCGAUGGAUUUUAUCACAGGUCUUCCACCAUCUCAUGGGCGCACUGUUAUCUGAUUGUCCAAAUACGGUCACCUUAUUGCCUUGCCUACCACUUUUACUAGCCAAAAAACUGCCGGGGUCUUUGUUAAGGAAUUUAUUCGACUUCAUGAUUCUCCUGUUACUAUUGUGUCUGAUCGUGACCCGUUGUUUCUAUCAGAAAUUUUGGAAUGAACUUCAUAAACUCCAGGGUACACAACUUGCCAUGAGUUCAGCCUAUCAUCCCCAAUCUGAUGGUCAGACUGAGGUGCUAAACAAAUGCUUGGAGAUGUAUCUCCGCUGUUUUGCAACUGACACGCCUUCUACUUGGUUUUCUUUGUUGCCAUGGGCAGAGUUCUGGUAUAAUACUUCAUGCCAACACAGCUCCUAGAUGACGCCAUUUGAGGUAGUUUAUGGCCGUCCUCCACCUACGGUGGUGAGGUAUCUUAAGGAUGGGAAAUCUAACUCUGCUGUUGCUACUUCUUUAUGUCAACGUGAUGAAACAUUAGCUGUUUUAAAGGACAAUUUGUUACAAGCUCAAGUGAGAAUGAAAGCUACAGCAGACAAAAGUCGUAGAGAAGUUUCAUUUGCCAUUGGUGAUUGGGUGCAUAUGCGACUUCGACCCUAUCGUCAGCUCUCUUUACACUUGCAGCGUCACACAAAGGAGUUGGUGAAGUCGCUUACAAGUUGGAUGUUCCCCAACUUCCAAAAUCCAUCCUGUAUUUCAUGUCUCCGUUCUUCGUAAAUGUUUAGGCUCUCCUUCUCAACAGAUUACUCCAGUUCAGCUUUUGGAUCAAUCAUCUUCUUUGGUUCUGCUCCCUGAAGAUGUCAUCCAAACCAGGAUCAUUUCGAGGGGUGGUCAACAAGUCCAUCAAUGCCUUAUCAAGUGGACGGGUCUUCCAUCAACAGACGCUUCAUGGGAAGAUACUCAUACACUGCUGCAACAAUUUCCAGAUUAGAACCUCGGGACAAGGUUCGUCUUCAUGGGGGUGGCAUUGUAACAAGCAUAGAGGACAAGUCAGCGGCUCCCUAGAUGCAGUACCAGGGAUAAGAAACGGCCCAAGCACCUAGACCAAUAUGUGGUCCCAAAUCCCAAAAGAAUGUCCUCCGUGCCAAGCUAUUAGAAGAAAGGCCAAAAAGCACCAGAAGACACAAAUAGACCAAGUAUCACUAGACUUCAGUAUGGAGGAACUUGCUUUUUUAUUUUUCUUAAUAACUUUAUAGAUCUGGAACUUUAUAUUUGCUA